This is a long non-coding RNA of Peromyscus californicus insignis, 2422 nucleotides long. RefSeq lists it as uncharacterized. NCBI's taxonomy places the organism in Eukaryota, Metazoa, Chordata, Mammalia, Rodentia, Cricetidae. The record is from RefSeq and is a predicted model, not a curated record. The transcript has 3 exons.
GGAGAUGUGGAUGUAAGUCAUUGCAAACCAGGAAGUGCUCUUCUCCUGUGUGGGUGCUUUUACACACAGGACGAGCCUGGACUGCCAUGACGGUGGUGGUGGUUGGUUGGGGAGUGGGCGGCUCUUCUCACACACCUCCUUAAAGAGGAACAUUGCUGAUUCUCACCAGGAGACCAAACCUUUAUCGCGGCACGCAGUGUUCGCUCACACCAGAGAUCCUGUUUUCUGAUAAGAAGAAAAAUAGUCUCAGUGUGUUCGGACUGAACGUCAUGUGGUCAUGCUCUACGAGCUGGGGGACGCGGAAGCAGCUGGCAUGGCUGGGCGGGACUUUGCGCGUUCCCAGGUAAUGCCAGAAUGCAAAAGACAGCUUCAGGGUGAAAAGGAGAGUGCACCGCCAGGUGAGCUGGUGUUGAAUGUAAGCCAAAGCAGUUAUAGAUCUGAAAAUCAAGGGCGCAGCAGCCGUGGCAAACUGACAUCACCGUGUGCACGCGGUGCAGGCUGGGCUGAACAUGGCCGCUAUCAGCAGCGGAGUAACUUAUAUCCUGUGUCUUGGGUGUAAGCCUUGUAUAAUCUCUGCGGUUAAAUAGCAAUAAGACGAGGUGGAGAGCCAGGUAAUUAAAAGUCCAUACGAGCCCUCUAUUUUAACGUAUGAUGCCCAGCAAGGAAAUGAGAAGCAGCUUCAUAAUUAACCUUCUGUGGACCCGGUCCCUCAACCACCCAUUAAAGGGACGUGGGAAAGCCUCAGGAGCCACUAGGAACUUUCCCACCGCGUGCCAUGAAGGGACAGACUGGGGAAUCAGAAAGAGUGGGGCACCGUUUUUCUCACUGGAGAUGGGUGGGGGCUGACGAUGAAACACCUCUCCGUCUGCUGUUGCUGAAUCUGCAGUUGGAAGAAUGCCAGCGACAGAGAAGCCUCAAGAAGGUGAUUAAAAUAGCGCAGGAUAAGGAUGCUAUUGAAAAGCUUGCCGGACUUGUCCCGAAGACCUCCCCUGCACUAGGCCAGACAUCAUGGCGGCUUAACAAAUGACCCUUCCCGGUAUCCUGAGCCCUGUGAACACCACAGGGCCUGCACUGCAGGCUUUAGCCUGUUAUCUAUUCAAACCUCAAAAUAACUCUUGGAUAGAGUCGACUUUUGUAGCAGAGAUUGACAGCUGCUCGCCAAGAUUUCUCUUUCCGGGCUCACAGACAGACAGACUGCCUUUUCCAGACAUGCUUGUGGCGAGCUGCAGUCGAAGUGUUAAAGAGAAGGAAAUAAAACAGAAGGGCAACCACAGCGACAGCAACAGAGAACGAGAAAAGAAACAAACUUGAUCGUGCUCUAGCAAAGCGCAGACAGACAGACCAGCGUUCAGUUAGAUCUCUGUGUGUGGAGUUUUGUUUUGUUUUGUUUCACGUGAAAACUGAUCUUCAUUGUCAACCCAGCUGGAUAAUUAGAGCCACCCAGGAAGCACACCUCAAGGUGUGUCUCUGAGGGUGUUUCCGAGGCUUAGCUGUUUAGGGGAGACCUGCCCUGUGGGUGGUGCCAUCCCUUGGGCUUGAGUCUUGAAGUGAAUAACAAGGAGAAAGGAAGCAGAGAACCGGUCCGUUGCUUCUGUCUGCUUCCUGACUGUGGAUGCCACGAUUCUAAGAAGUCAGCAUGGAAGGACGGAAAGAGAUCAUCCAACUCCCUGUUUGUUUCCUAGCUGACAAAGCCAUCAAAAUCAACAGCUUUUCUAAAAUGGCAUCAUAUUUUCACUAAACUGCCCAAGGACUUCUGACUAGAGGUGGAAGCCACAUGCUCAUGUUCCAGAGUGAGAGUUCAUCAAGGAGGAGGAGGCAUGGCAGGGAAGCCAGAACAGAAAACCCAGAGAUCAUGUCUUCAACAGAAAACUUCAAACAGAGAGAGCAAUCUGGAACUGGGGAGAGACUAUGAGCGCUCAGAGCCCACCCACAGUGACAUAUUUCCUUCAGUAAGACUGUACCAUCUCCCAAACAGCGCCACCAACGGGUAACCAAGUAUUCAAAUACCUGUGCCUGUGGGGGGCAUUCUUAUCCAAACAACUACAGUCUUUGAGCCUGUAUAAGUUGGCUUUUGUAUAUGGUGUGAAGUAGGGGUUCAGCUUUAUCCACGUGGUAGUUAACUGUCCUGGGUCAUUUGCUGGAAAAACUUUUCUUUGUCUCCUGUAACUGUCUUGUCAAGGUUAUGAAAAAUCAUGGUGCCAGAGGAGAGGUUUCUGGAGGGGCUAUUUAUUCCGUGAAUUUAUCCAGCUAUCUCUGUGUGUUCAUAAGCGAGUAGUAGCCCCUAGUCCAAGGUUGCUGUGGACUUGUAACAAUGGCCAUUUGGAGCUAUUUCUCUUUUAAAUUUUAGGCACCCCAUCAUAGUUCACCUGCUCCAUUAUUUGGAACUUCCGUUUUUUUCCAGAAUGCAAUUGACAGUUCCUAA